Long non-coding RNA from Zonotrichia leucophrys gambelii, 2386 nucleotides. RefSeq lists it as uncharacterized. The record is from RefSeq and is a predicted model, not a curated record. The transcript is spliced from 3 exons. Lineage: Eukaryota; Metazoa; Chordata; Aves; Passeriformes; Passerellidae.
GUAAAACACACCGGCUGUGAAACUCCGGGGCCCUGCGGUGAGGCUCAGAGCGUUGUAACCAAACACUGAUCAGGAGGGGGAAACACGAGGUAAAAAGAGGUUCUGAGGGCAGCUGAAGCUGUUGUGCUUUAAAAAUAACAGCCUGCCUCGAUCCAUGCCUGUAUUCAGAAGGAAACUGAAGUUAAAAGAAGACAGGGUAUAGGACACACUGGUGUCCAUCCUUCAAAUUGCAGCUCUUCAUUAGUGAUAAUGAGGGCUGUGCAGAGACCAUCCACAGCAAAGUGGCAUGAAUGGAAGAGUGACACUGGGCUGUCAUUUUAAUUGGGAUAUUUACAUAUAAACAGACUCCACGGAGAAUGAAAGCUAUCUCUGGGACCAAAGGGACAGAAAUUUUGUGAGCAAACACACUAGUGCUCAAUAAAUGAAACAGAAUAUUCUGACUUCUUAAGCUUUCUGUAUCAGCUCUCAUCACAAAAGGUAUUUCAGAAGAACACAAAACCAACAGGGAGACAGCCAUGAAAAAUCUGGGAAGAGCAGUACAACUCAUUCCAUUCUUUUAAAAAAUAGUCUCAUAGAGUUAAGAGUUUUCUCCAGAAUGAAAAGCAGCUGUAAUUUUCAUAUUUUUUCCUACUGCUUUUACUUCACCUUACAUGUUUUAAAUGCCCUGUUUUUAGGAUCACCUGCUAUGCAUAGCAGGCAUGUCAGGCUUGAAAGAAAGCCAUUAUUUGCAGUCAGUCAACAUGCAAAUGUUUCAAGCAUGAGUAGCCUUACUCCACUUAGAGCACAUGAACGUAAGCAAUACCACGGGGCAGCACGUUUUUAAUCCAGCCCUGAAACAGAACAUUUUCAGUUAAGUCACUGAGAAAUCCGCGGGGUUCUGUUUGCACAGAGCACAUUUAUUGUGCAUAAAGCAGCCUCAGAGAGCCGUGCCGGACAGGCUGAUUGCAGCGUGCCCUCUGUGUUUGCAUCCCCAGCGCUCACAGGAAUGGAUUUCACACGCCUUGAGCCGACUUAACAACCACUUGUUAGUUUCCAUAGCAAGAGCUGCUUGGAGCUGGCGCUGGAAGUGCCCGUGAGCUUUUUCUGUGCAGCUGGAAAUGAACCAGCGUGGCUGAGAAACAGGAAACACUUUAGCAGAACUGGAGAUGAGCUUCUUUUGGAUUCUGCUGAAUGGGAUGCGUUUUUCUGCCUAAAGUUUCUGCGGCUCUCAGCAUGGAAAAUGCCAUUAAGGGUGGCUUUCAGAUCUGGGCAAGAUCCUAUUGUCGAGAUGCCUUUGUAGGGGGAUACCGUGGAAAAUCGCACGUUAGGGAUGGUGAAAGCAGGAGGAAAAGCAGCUGCUUCUCGUAGAGUGUGCCGCCUCCUGUACAUCCACUUAAGGACUUCUUUCCCAUCCCUCGUGGAUUUGUGUGCGACUUAGAAUACAUUAUCCCCUGCCCUUAGCGAAGGGUUCAAAACGCUUAUGGCAUGCAUGCAACAGCAUCAAUCCGUUAAAGAGAAUCCGCACGUUUCUCUGCACAUGUAAGAGCCCCUCACCUGCACAUCCUCCUCUCUCCAGGAAGGAGGGAAGGAAACCCCAGGGCGCCUCGGCUCCCUGCCUGCAGCCUCCCCUUCCCUUUCCUUCCCUUGCCGUGCACAGAGGGGCAGCCCCCGCAAAAGGGGAGCUCGCUGGGGCUCGGGUGGCUCCGCUGUCCUGCGGAGGGACAGGGGUCCUGGAGGCUGCCGAGCUGGGGAAGCCAUCCCGGGCAGAAGAGAUCUCGGGCAGAAGAGAUCCCGGGCAGAAGAGAUCUCGGGCAGCAGCGGUGCCGGGCACCCCGCUCCCCGCGGCGGACACUGACCUGUGCAACAGGACGCUCUGCACCGAGUCCAGGUCCUCCAGGUUCCUGGUGACGGGCCGCGGGAUGCUGUACCUGCCCGCCCCGAACAUGGGCACUGCGGGCGGCCGCGGGCAGGUGGAGAGAGCCCCGCAGCCCGCCCGUCUGUCCGCCCGUCCGUCUGUCCGUCCGUCUGUCCGCUCCGGGGCCCAGCGGCGCCGCGGCGCGGGGCGCGGGGGAAGCGCGGCCGGGAGAGCGCGCCUGCUCCGCCGCGCUGGGACACGGCGUGUGUGGUUUGUGUCAGGAACUCGCCAAGCGUGAAAAGCACAGUUUGAGAUGAAUGAAGUAAAGCAAUUCCUAGCUGCAGCCGUAGAUUUACACCUCCCCCCCACCCAGAGCUUCAUGCCCAGCGCCUGCUAUGUGAGAAAAUAGUUCUUCCCCGUGUAUUUUCCUGCUGGUCAAAGUAAUGGAUUUGAAUUUUGAAUUUUGAAUUCCGGUUGAUCCUCUUUCCUUAAGUAACAAUGUGAAUAAUUACCAAUCGCACAAAAUCCAAUCCGGUCUUUAUUCCCUCUUCC